RNAcentral lists this transfer RNA (60 nucleotides) under Enterococcus faecium. RNAcentral's name for it is "tRNA-Arg". It matches the Rfam family "tRNA", at positions 13 to 68 of the family's 71-position model. From Rfam's summary of the family: Transfer RNA (tRNA) molecules are approximately 80 nucleotides in length. Their secondary structure includes four short double-helical elements and three loops (D, anti-codon, and T loops). The record is from RNAcentral. Lineage: Bacteria; Bacillati; Bacillota; Bacilli; Lactobacillales; Enterococcaceae.
CAGCUGGAUAGAGCAUCCGCCUUCUAAGCGGACGGUCGGGGGUUCGAAUCCCUCCUGUGA